This 450-nucleotide ribosomal RNA is filed under the name uncultured bacterium. Its description in RNAcentral is "bacterial SSU rRNA". It matches the Rfam family "Bacterial small subunit ribosomal RNA", at positions 354 to 796 of the family's 1533-position model. The record is from RNAcentral.
GUGGGGAAUAUUGGACAAUGGGCGAAAGCCUGAUCCAGCCAUGCCGCGUGUGUGAAGAAGGUCUUCGGAUUGUAAAGCACUUUAAGUUGGGAGGAAGGGUAGUAACCUAAUACGUUGCUACUUUGACGUUACCGACAGAAUAAGCACCGGCUAACUUCGUGCCAGCAGCCGCGGUAAUACGAAGGGUGCAAGCGUUAAUCGGAAUUACUGGGCGGAAAGCGCGCGUAGGUGGUUCAGUAAGUUGGAAGUGAAAUCCCCGGGCUCAACCUGGGAACUGCUUUCAAAACUGCUGAGCUAGAGUACGGUAGAGGGUGGUGGAAUUUCCUGUGUAGCGGUGAAAUGCGUAGAUAUAGGAAGGAACACCAGUGGCGAAGGCGACCACCUGGACUGAUACUGACACUGAGGUGCGAAAGCGUGGGGAGCAAACAGGAUUAGAAACCCCGGUAGUCC